This 784-nucleotide long non-coding RNA is filed under the name Danio rerio (zebrafish). Its description in RNAcentral is "lncRNA (ENSDARG00000117502.1)". Lineage: Eukaryota; Metazoa; Chordata; Actinopteri; Cypriniformes; Danionidae. The record is from RNAcentral.
AUUCAGUAGCCUACCAGUGAGUCGUUUGAAUGAUUCAAACGUGGUGCUCCAAAUGCACGUUGGACACUUCGGUUGUGGCUGUGUUUGGAAUAAUUUUCGCAACUUUAACUACAACAAAUAAACCGAAGGAUGCAAUUGACUGUAUGGCUGACAAUAGAGUGGGCAAACUCCACGCCCUGUCGAAUUCCACGUACAUCACAGGGACCUUUGGGAUGUCGGGCCACCCUCCGCUACCUACCUACCUCCACAUUUUCAUCUGGAGGAAUCCCGUCGGGGACUCGUCCUCUCUCUUCGGCUCAGUGCUGUACUAUUCUUGGAAAAAGCCUCAUGAACUGCAGGGACUUGUCAUUUGCUGUAGGGGGCCAUGCGUCCUGAAGUGCGGAGACAGUUUGGUUGUGCUGUACGCAUCCUAUUUGUGGCCCUUCUCGCAUUGUUUGGUACGAGUGUGGCUGCUAUUUACGAUGUGGCUGUUGUUGAUUGACUAGUGCAGUAAUUUGAGGAGUGUUAGGGCUCUUAUCCUGGUAGAGGAAGAGAGAUGGAACAGGACAAAGAGCAUUGAUUGUUUAUGGCUAAAAGAUUUACAUGACUGUAACAUAUAUUCUUUUACUUUACAUUUAGUAUUACGUUUAACAUGUCUCCUUUGUUUUUAAAUCCAAAGCCUAGUGGAAAGCUGGAGGGUGGUGAGCUCAGAAAAUACACAGAUAUGCAUAUUCAUUCUCAUCUUCACCUUUGCUUUUACAAAUGCAAAUGCUGUUAAUAAAGUUUAAUUGAAAUUAAACCCGAC